Papaver somniferum (opium poppy) is the source of this 1146-nucleotide long non-coding RNA. RefSeq lists it as uncharacterized. Lineage: Eukaryota; Viridiplantae; Streptophyta; Magnoliopsida; Ranunculales; Papaveraceae. The transcript is spliced from 4 exons. The record is from RefSeq and is a predicted model, not a curated record.
UGUCGACCAAACCAGUACAGCGAGCUCUGACUUUCUAUCUUUAUUUUUUCUCUUCCUAUCCACUAUAAUCAAAAUCAAAGAUUGACAGGAUUUUCUAUCUACAGCCAGGGAUCGAAUGAACUCUUUAAGGUUAUUAGUUUUGGAUCUCUCACAAGUUUCGGUUUCGCAUGCUAAGACAACUAAACUCAACAAUCAUUGUAGAUAUCAGAAAGGCAUCAUUACAUGUGAGGAUUCUGAAUUUAUACAUUGUUAUUUGAGGCAUUUGAGAAACACAAUAUGGAGAAUGACAUAACUAAUUGAGUAUAUCAACAACGAGUUUGAUAAGAAACAUGGCCUUACUUGGCAAUGGCAUGUACUGCGGUCACAAUUUUGAAUUCUGAGGUUUAUGGCGUCAGAAAUAUGGAUCGGAGUAAUUUAUCUCAACAUGGUGGUAAAUUCAACAGUUUUCUUCUCCCUUCUAGCUAAAGUAGCUUUAACGUAUGUUAUCUCCAAAAAAAUUUGUGUUUUCUCUGUUCUUUGUCUUAGGAUUUUAUGAACGUUUCAGCAUAUUUGGAUUGCUUAAAGGUGUGUUAGGGCCACACUUAGUUAGGCUUAAGCCAUAGCAACUGGUCUGUUCUUAUUGAUUGAGAAGGGGGAUGAACCUAAAUCCAAGGAAAAGGGUAUUUUAGCUAAUCCAAAUGAGGAGAAAACAAGUGCAUGCUUCUUAGUGUUGUUUUAGUUAAGCUUCAAACUGAGUCAUCUUCACCACAUGCCAUUUCUCCACUGAAGUUUAUCGAUUUUGAACAACUCCCUGGGACAUCCAAGAUCACCAAGCUGUGUGAUUCUGGCAGCGGUUUGGAAAAACUCAACUCAUACACGAGCUUCUUCGGAUGUUCAAUUAUGAUGGAGCAGUGAUGACCACAGUAAUGGUUGGGAUGUGAUAUCAAAAAGCACAUACAUGUAUAUAGGGGCGUUGAGUAUUCUUACAGAUAUUUGUACCUAAUUGUAUUUCUCUUUGGUAGCAGGUCGUAGUCUCAGCUAUUUGAGUUGAGUUGAUUAUCUUGCACAUUAAUUUGACAUUAGGACAAACUAUUGGAAUGUAAACUUUGGUUAAGAGUUUUGCCAACUUAGCAGCAUUGGCGCAGACAAUGAACUAACUUUUAUGGA